This 1213-nucleotide ribosomal RNA is filed under the name uncultured archaeon. Its description in RNAcentral is "bacterial SSU rRNA". It matches the Rfam family "Archaeal small subunit ribosomal RNA", at positions 285 to 1478 of the family's 1478-position model. The record is from RNAcentral.
CGAACCCUGCCAAGGCGGCCGCGAAAUUCCACUAGGUGAAUUAACGGGGGCGCAGCAAGGCGCGGAAAAACNUGUAACCAAAUGCGGGGGCAACCGUGAAUAAGGGGAACCCUCGAGUGCCUGUAAAUGCAGGCUGUUCAGGUGCCUAAUACACACCUGAAGAAAGGGCCGGGCAAGACCGGUGCCAGCCGCCGCGGUAAUACCGGCGGCUCGAGUGGUGGCCGCUUUUAUUGGGCUUAAAGCGUUCGUAGCUGGGUUGUUAAGUCUCUUGGGAAAUCUGGCGGCUUAACCGUCAGGCGUCUAAGGGAUACUGGCAAUCUUGGAACCGGGAGAGGUGAGGGGUACUUCGGGGGUAGGAGUGAAAUCCUGUAAUCCUCGAGGGACCACCUGUGGCGAAGGCGCCUCACCAGAACGGCUUCGACAGUGAGGGACGAAAGCUGGGGGAGCAAACCGGAUUAGAUACCCCGGGUAGUCCCAGCCGUAAACUAUGCGCGUUAGGUGUAUCGGUGACCACGAGUUACGAGGUGCCGAAGGGAAACCGUGAAACGUGCCGCCUGGGAAGUACGGUCGCAAGGCUGAAACUUAAAGGAAUUGGCGGGGGAGCACCACAACAGGUGGAGCCUGCGGUUUAAUUGGACUCAACGCCGGGAAGCUCACCGGAUAAGACAGCAGAAUGAUUGCCGGGCUGAAGACUCUGCAUGACUAGCUGAGAGGAGGUGCAUGGCCGUCGUCAGUUCGUACUGUGAAGCAUCCUGUUAAGUCAGGCAACGAGCAAGACCCACGCCAACAGUUGCCAGCAUGGUCUCCGGACUGAUGGGGACACUGUUGGUACCGCCUCUGCUAAAGAGGAGUGAAGGAAUGGGCACACGGUAGGUCAGCAUAGCCCCGAAUUAUCCGGGCUACAACGCGGGUACCAUGGGCCAGGACCAAAUGGGCCAUUNGGACACCGAAAGGUGAAGGCAAAUCUCCUAAACCUGUCCUUAGUUCGGAUUGUGGGCUGCAACUCGCCCACAUGAAGCUGGAAUCUGUAGUAAUCGCGUUUCAAAAUAACGCGGUGAAUUUGUCCCUGCUCCUUGCACACACCGCCCGUCAAACCACCCGAGUGGGGUUUGGAUGAGGUUGCGGUUGUUGCCGCAGUCGAAUCUAGGUUCCGCAAGGGGGUAAGUCGUAACAAAGGUAGCCGUAAAUCGAAUUCCCGCGCCGCCAAGCGGCC